UCGAGAGGCUUCGGCAAUGGGGGAAACCCUGACCGAGCGACGCCGCGUGGAGGAUGAAGGCCCUUGGGUUGUAAACUCCUUUUGUUGGGGAAGAAAUGCGAUCAGGUGAACAAUCUGGUCGUUUGACGGUACCCGACGAAUAAGCUCCGGCUAACUCCGUGCCAGCAGCCGCGGUAACACGGGGGGAGCAAGCGUUGUUCGGAAUCACUGGGCGUAAAGCGCGUGUAGGCGGUUAGGUAAGUGGGAUGUGAAAUACUCCGGCUCACCCGGAGAACUGCAUCCCAAACUGCCUAGCUUGAGUAUGGGAGAGGAUGAGGGAAUUCCUGGUGUAGCGGUGAAAUGCGUAGAUAUCAGGAGGAACACCGGUGGCGAAAGCGCUCAUCUGGCCCAAUACUGACGCUGCAGCGCGAAAGCUAGGGGAGCAAACGGGAUUAGAUACCCCCGUAGUCC
This 450-nucleotide ribosomal RNA is filed under the name uncultured bacterium. RNAcentral describes it as "bacterial SSU rRNA". It matches the Rfam family "Bacterial small subunit ribosomal RNA", at positions 355 to 796 of the family's 1533-position model. The record is from RNAcentral.